Molecule: ribosomal RNA, 324 nt
Filed under: uncultured eukaryote
Lineage: Eukaryota
Description: partial 18S ribosomal RNA
Rfam family: Eukaryotic small subunit ribosomal RNA
Source: RNAcentral
CCCUUAGAUGUUCUGGGCCGCACGCGCGCUACACUGACAUGUUCAUCGAGAUUUUUACCUUGACCGACAGGUCUUCGGCAAACUUUUCAAAUCAUGUCGUGAUGGGGCUAGAUUAUUGUAAUUAUUAAUCUUCAACGAGGAAUUCCUAGUAGACGCGAGUCAUCAACUCGCAUCGAUUACGUCCCUGCCCUUUGUACACACCGCCCGUCGCUACUACCGAUUGAACAUUUUAGUGAGUUGCGAGGAGUGGGGAUAGUCAGGCAACUGGCUAUACCUGCGAGAAGCUGCAAACUUGGAUGUUUAGAGGAAGUAAAAGUCGUAACA